AGUAAGGGCACUUUCCAAGAUCACCGAGCAAAUCUGCAAGCUGAAGUAGGUUAGCCCAAGUUUCUACCGCUGAAGACUCAGUCUGUUCGUCCUGUCUAUCCCCAGGAAGGAUGCCGUGGUUACUGAGAAGUAUCGAAUAGCAGUGCCUGUCCUCAAAAAGAUUAUGAUAUAAUUGGGGCAAAAUACAUAAAAAGAUACACAAGCACUUACCAUUGUGUCACAGUUGCCUACAGUACUUAGCACAGUAGCAUGCCGUGUGGCUCGUGGCCCAGGAGCAGUAGGCUACACCACAGAGCCUAGAAGCGCAGUACGCCAGACGCUCUGAUGUUCGCGCAACGACGAAAUCU
Molossus molossus (Pallas's mastiff bat) is the source of this 347-nucleotide long non-coding RNA. RefSeq lists it as uncharacterized. The transcript has 3 exons. Lineage: Eukaryota; Metazoa; Chordata; Mammalia; Chiroptera; Molossidae. The record is from RefSeq and is a predicted model, not a curated record.